GACAGAGGGGGCAAGCGUUGCUCGGAAUCACUGGGCGUAAAGGGCGCGUAGGCGGGAUGGCAAGUCGGUCGUGAAAUCUCUCGGCUCAACCGAGAAACGUCGGCCGAUACUGCCGUUCUUGAGGGAUGCAGAGGAGACUGGAAUUCCCGGUGUAGCGGUGAAAUGUGUAGAGAUCGGGAGGAACACCGGUGGCGAAGGCGGCAUCCUGGACCACGACUGACACUGAAAAGCGAAAGCGUGGGGAGCAAACAGG
RNAcentral lists this ribosomal RNA (253 nucleotides) under uncultured bacterium. RNAcentral describes it as "partial 16S ribosomal RNA". It matches the Rfam family "Bacterial small subunit ribosomal RNA", at positions 524 to 776 of the family's 1533-position model. The record is from RNAcentral.